GUGUGAGUGUGAGAGGUGAGUGUGAGUGUGAGUGUGUGUGAGAGUGUGUGUGUGUGUGUGUGUGUGAGUGUGAGAGAGGGAGAUUAAGACCAGAUUAAAACCAACGUUUGAAACGUUGCCUCGGUUUGUCAGAACUGUGAGCUGUGAGAAACUUAAUUACCGAAGAAGCCUGGAUGGUAAAACAAGCUUUGAAGCUUGAAGCAAGCUGUUUUGUCGAACACGAAUGAGGCUGGACGCUGAACACACCUGCGGCGCAAAGAGUUAAGAGAUGGUUACAGCUACAUGGCCCGGACUAAGAUAUGGUCUCCGAAGUGAGAGUGACGUCACCUACGAGUUGACAGUCAUAGGGAAAGAAUUCGGGAAUGGUGUCACCACUUCAUCCACACCAUUGUCCACGAUCGCUGAGACGUCAUCCAUGAUCACAGAGACAUGAUCCAUGAUUGGAGAGACAUUAUUGAGGAUGAGGGAGACAUCGUCCAUGAUCUGAGAUGUUGUCCGUAGUUGCAGAGACCUUGUCAAAGAUGAGAGAGACGUUGUCACGGUGACGGGGGUCACCGAUUUGACGGCAUUGCCCGCGAUCAGGUACAUUGUCGAUGAUCACAGAGACAUCUUCCAUGAUCACAAAGACAUUGUCCAUGAUCGUAGAGACAUUGUCCAUAAUCUCAGAGACAUUGUCCACGAUCACAGAGAUGUUGCCCACGAUCACAGAGAGACUUUGUACGAUGAACAAGUUCUUUGAGACCAGGACAGAGGCUUCCAGGUGACACCACUUUGUCCACAACAUCGUCCAGGAUUGCAGAGACUUCGUCCAUGAGCGGAGAGACAUUAUUGAGGAUGAGGGAGACAUCGUCCACGAUCAGAGACAUUGUCCAUGAUCGCAGAGACCUUGUCAAAGAUGAGAGAGACGUUGUCCGUGAUCAGAGACAUUGUCCCAUGCUUCGUAGAGACCUUGUGAUAGAAUCAGUGGAGACGGGUGUCACCGAUUUGACGGCAUUGCCCGCGAUCAUGGAGACAUUGUCGAUGAUCACAGAGGCACCGUCUAUGAUCUCAGAGACAUCGUCCACUAUCACAAAGUCAUUGUCCAUGAUGACAGAGACUUUGUCCAUAAUCUCAGAGACAUUGUCCGCAAUCACAGAGAGUCUUUGUACACUGAAGAAGUUCUUUCAGACCAAGACUGAGGCCUCCAGGUGACACCACUUUGUCCACAACAUCGUCCACAGAGACAUGGUCCAUGAGCGGAGAGACAUUGUUGAGGAUGAGGGAGACAUCGUCCACGAUCAGAGACGCUGUCCAUGAUUGCAGAGACCUUGUCAAAGAUGAGAGAGACGUUGUCCGUGAUCAGAGACAUUGUCCCAUGCUUCGUAGAGACCUUGCGAUAGAAUCGGCGGAGAUGGGGGUCACCGAUUCGACGGCAUUGUCCGCGAUCGUGGAGACAUUGUCGAUGAUCACAGAGACAGCGUCUAUGAUCUCAGAGACAUCGUCCACUAUCACAAAGUCAUUGUCCAUGAUCACAGAGACUUUGUCCAUAAUCUCAGAGACAUUGUCCGCGAUCACAGAGACGUAGUCCAUGAUCACAGAGAGUCUUCGUACAAUAAAGAAGUUCUUUGAGAAGUGGGACUGAGGCCUCCAGGUGUGACCACUGUCCACGACAUCGUCCACGAUCACAGAGACUUCGUCCAUGAUCGGAGAGACAUUGUUGAGGAUGAGGGAGACAUUGUCCAUAAUUUCAGAGACAAGGUAAUUCACAAACAGCUUUACAUCAGCUGUCUAACACAGAGCACUGACAUUGUUUAUGUUUAGUAUUUAAUAUAUCAGAAAUCUGUAUUAAUAAUAGAAGUAAUGUAGAAGUAAUUUGCAUUAUCAAAAGUAAGAUAAAUAGUAAAAAUAAUCUGUUACUAGAUGUAAUUUGCAAAAGUGAAAGUUAUCAUGUAAGUUUAGAAGUAAAAUGUAAUUUAAAAAAAGUACUCUGUAAGGGUAAAACUAAUUUAAUGUUGGAGUGAAAAUAUCCUGGAAUAUAAAAGCAAUGAAGAGGAAAUACUGAUCUAAAAUGAGGGUAAAAAUAUUACAAUAUAUUGUGGCAUCAAAAUGAAAAAAACUAUCAUAGUAAUAUUUUUUUAAUGUCAUAAAAUGCUGUAUUUAUAUAGUAAGGCAUAAAAAAGUGUCAAAACCGUCAAAAAAUAUCAGUAUAGUAAGGCGUCAAAAAAUGUUAAAAAAUUAUCAAAAAUGGUCAAAGAAGGUCAUGGUAUAGCAAGUGUAUAGAAAAAUGUCAAAAACAAUCAAAAACAUUCAUAGCAUAUGGCAAUAAAAAUGGUCAGAAAACGUCAUAGUAGUAUGACCUCAAAAAUUGUUUUAAAAAAUGUCAUAGUAUAGUAAGAUGUCAAAAAACAUCAAAAAAUGUCAUAGCAUAUUAAGAGGUCAAAAACCACUACAAAAUGUCAUAGUAUAUUAAGACGUCAAAAACUAUUAAAAAAUGUCAUAGUAUAGUAAGGCAUGAAAGAUGGUCAAAAAAUGUCAUAGCAAAGUAUGGCGUCAGAAACGGUCCAAAAAUGUCGUAGAAUAGUAUGGCUCCAAAAAUGUCACAAUAUAGUAUGAUAAUAAUAACACAUUUUAUUUAUAAGCACCUUUCUGAACACUCAAGGACACUGUACAAUAUACAAUAAACAAUAAAACUAUACAAUAGACAAUAAUCAAUAAAACUGUACAGUAUACAAUAAUCAAUAAAACAACAAUGGAUAAAAUCAACAUAUAAAAGAAAUGUAGGGUGGUGAAGUUGCAGUAGGACUGUUAAAGUGAAUAGGCAAUCUUAAAGAGGGUUUUGAGUCUGGAUUUUAAAACGGGAAAGGAGUCAACGUUUUUGAGGGCUGGUGACAGGGAGUUCCAGAGCUGGGUGCUGAGACGGGCAGAGGGUAUGCAGAGAUGAAUGGAGGAGGAAGAUCUGGCGUUAAAAACUGUCACUGUAUAAUAUGGCUUCAAAAACCAUCAAAACACGUCAUAGUAUAGUAAGGCUUCAAAAAUACAGUAUAGUAAGGCUUUCAGAACCACGAAAAAAUGUCAUAGUAUAUUAAGGCUUCAAAAAAGUCAUACCAUAGUAAGACUUAAAAAAAAGUCAUACUAUAGUAAGGCUUCAAAAAAAGUCAUACCAUAGUAAGGCUUCAAAAAUACAGUAUAGUAAGGCUUCAAAAAUAUAGUAUAGUAAGGCUUUCAAAACCAUGAAAAAAUGUCAUAGUAUAUUAAGGCUUCAAAAAAGUCAUACCAUAGUAAGGCUUAAAAAAAAGUCAUAGUAUAGUAAGGCUUCAAAAAAAAGUCAUACCAUAGUAAGGCUUCAAAAAAAGUUAUAGUAAGGCUUCAAAAAAAGUCAUACCAUAGUAAGGCUUCAAAAAAAGUUAUAGUAAGGCUUCAAAACUGGUCAAAAAAGUCAUACCAUAGUAAGGCUUCAAAAUAGUCAUACCAUAUUAAGGCUUCAAAAAAAGUCAUAGUAUAGUAAGGCUUCAAAACUGGUCAAAAAGUCAUACCAUAGUAAGGCUUGAAAAAAGUCAUAGUAUAGUAAGGCUUCAAAAAAGUCAUACCAUAGUAAGACUUCAAAAUAGUCAUACUAAAGUAAGGCUUCAAAAAAAGUUAUAGUAUAGUAAGGCUUCAAAAAAAGUCAUAGUAAGGCUUCAAAAAAAGUCAGUAUAGUAAGGCUUCAAAACUGGUCAAAAAAGUCAUACCAUAUUAAGGCUUCAAAAAAGUCAUAGUAUAGUAAGGCUUCAAAAAAAGUCAUAGUAUAGUAAGGCUUCAAAAAAAGUAGUAUAGUAAGGCUUCAAAAAAAGUCAUACCAUAGUAAGGCUUCAAAAAAGUUUUGACUUUUUUUGAAGCCUUACUAUGACUUUUUUUGACCAGUUUUGAAGCCUUAUUAUGACUUUUUUGACCAGUUUUGACUUUUUUUGAAGCCUUAUUAUGGUAUGACUUUUUUGACCAGUUUCGACUUUUUUUAAAGCCUUAUUAUGGUAUGACUUUUUUGACCAGUUUCGACUUUUUUUAAAGCCUUAUUAUGGUAUGACUUUUUUGACCAGUUUUGACUUUUUUUGAAGCCUUAUUAUGGUAUGACUUUUUUGACCAGUUUUAAAGCCUUACUAUGACUUUUUUGACCAGUUUUGACGUUUUUUGAAGCCUUAUUAUGACUUUUUUGACCAGUUUUGACUUUUUUUGAAGCUUUACUAUGACUUUUUUUGACCAGUUUU
This is a long non-coding RNA of Lates calcarifer (barramundi perch), 4220 nucleotides long. RefSeq lists it as uncharacterized. The transcript is spliced from 6 exons. Lineage: Eukaryota; Metazoa; Chordata; Actinopteri; Centropomidae. The record is from RefSeq and is a predicted model, not a curated record.